This 1313-nucleotide long non-coding RNA is filed under the name Canis lupus familiaris (dog). Its description in RNAcentral is "lncRNA (ENSCAFG00845024465.1)". The record is from RNAcentral. Lineage: Eukaryota; Metazoa; Chordata; Mammalia; Carnivora; Canidae.
AAGUAAUGCCUAUUAUGUUGAAUUGAUUUAUGCAACCCUGAUUCCAAACAUUUAAAAAAAUAUAUUCAAGGACAAGAACAGAGGCUUUCUAUAGCAGCUGUACUGUUGAGAGAGGGGCUUUGGGUUGGGAGGGGCGUCAGCCCUAGUACCCAGUAGGAAGUCACGAAGGACCAUACUGUCACAAGUCACAAGGUGACUUUUCUGAAUAUCACCACACUCCCAGCAGUUCAGGAGGGGAGAGACUAACAGUUAAUUUCAACCACAGAUAGUAGUUAUUUAGUAGAUCAGUACAGAUUGCUUCAUAUUUUGUGGAUAUUAGAGUUUUGUUAAAAAAAAAUGUUUUUAGGAAUGCCUGGGUGGCUCAGUGGUUGAGCAUCUGCCUUCAGGGAGUGAUCCCAGAGUCCCAGGAUCGAGUCCCAUAUCAGGCUCCCUGCAGGGAGCCUGCUUCUCCUCCCUCUCCCUGUGUCUCUGCCUCUCUCUCUGUGUCUCUCAUGGAUAAAUAAAAUCUUUUAAAAAAAAGUGUUUUUAGUAAAAAUAAUACUGGUAUUGUCUAUGUACUUGAAUGUGACACAAUGACUAAUUAGGUGAUAAUUGCAAGGAAGGAUUUAUUAUUAAAAUAAUCACUUUUUUCUUUACGAAAUGAACACAUGUUCAUGGCAGAAACCAGAAAAUAUAAACUUUAAAAGAUGAAAUCUAAACGUGACAUGUAACUGAAUCCAUAAAAAAUCAUGCUGAUGUAUAUAUGAGGGAUUCUUCUUUUUCCUUUUAGUGUUACAAUACAAAGUUAGCCAAAGCUCAACUAUUAAUAGAACUUUAUUGAAUGGCCGAGUGCAACAUUUCUGGAUUUUCCUCAUUGGACCCUACAGGGGAAUAAUAGUUUUUAGAGAGUGUUCCAGUAAUACUUGCUAUGUUAGUAACUACUGAUUAAUGCUAUAGGGAGAAAAGCUAUGCCCAAGUAUAUUAGCUGUUAACUGACCACGAUUUAUAACAAAUAAUUUUUUUAUUAUCUUAGGGAAAAACACUAAAACUUAGUAUUUUAUCUGGAAUUACUUUUAAUAGUAACUGCUAACCAAAUGUUAGAGAAAAGACUAUAAGCUCUUUAGUGGAUAGAGAAGAUACCUACUGAGCCUAGUAUAAGUCUGGCAAUCAUGAAAUAUUUGUUGAUGACCAAAGCUCUUUAUUCUUGUAUAAUCUUGAUAAUUUCCUCAGAACUGAAUCUAAUUGGCUGUAGCGGAAAAUAUGGUCAAAAUUUUCAUAGAAUUAUUUUGUACUGCUUGUUUGAUAUUUACAAUUUUGAUUGAAUGUGAUUAGAA